GCUGAUUUCGUGGAGAGCAAGGGGGGAGGGGAUUUCCGCGAAAACUUGACCAAUCUUCGUGCAGUUCGUCCCUACUUCUAGGUAUCAAGUUGAAGGAACUUUGGAAUACUCAGAGCAAUUGUUUGAGGAGAACUUUGUUUGCGAAGCUGGAACAGCUCGAGGCGUCUGUCAGCCGGUUCGUGAUGAUUCGUUGUGCGGGAAAGACCCGGAGCGGAACGACUAUUACUGAAGCUUUCGACGAGGACCCGGACAUCAUGCCUGAUCGAGGGAGGGUCGAUGAUAGUAGUGUGGGGUAUGGGUGGUUAGAGUCUUUUGGAGUUGGUUGUUACUGUAAUAGCUCUGAUUCGUUUUGCUUUUGGGACAGGGUAGGUUCCCGACGCAUGACUUUUCGUGUGGUUCUCUUACUGAGGGAUCACAGUGAGUCAGUUGGACCAUAGGGGUCUUUGCUUAGGCCAUAUUGAGGCCGACUUUCUCCUAGUGGUUUGUAAUCAUAAUUUUCUCACUUACACUUCUGGGUCUGUAUAUAUUUGCCUACGGGCACACUGCUUUGGAGUCACUGUGAGUGUGUGGGACGUGGAAGUGCAGCUGAGGCUGUACAUGUUUAUAUUUGUUGUAUAUCGGUUAGUUGAGUAGUUGGGUUUUGUCUUUACUUCCUUAUCGUUUUGAUUUAAAGGAAAGAAAACGAAAAAAAAUUACCUGUUUU
Long non-coding RNA from Lotus japonicus, 703 nucleotides. RefSeq lists it as uncharacterized. NCBI's taxonomy places the organism in Eukaryota, Viridiplantae, Streptophyta, Magnoliopsida, Fabales, Fabaceae. The transcript has 3 exons. The record is from RefSeq and is a predicted model, not a curated record.